CUUGAAAAUACACAAAAUUAUUUUCAAGUUGAGCCAAUAAUCUCAAAUUUAAUUAGGGUUUUAGCUUUAAGCUGAAACCUUUAGCUAAUUGGAACUUUAGUUUAAAAUUUUAUUUCUUUUUUGUGGCGGAGUCUCGGGCAAGGAGCAAAGGAUUUUAACUCCAAAUCUCGACAAAGGCUGCGCAUAAGAAAGAUUUUGGGAAGUUUGGACAUUGAGUUUGCAUAAGCAUAAGGAGCAAAUAAGGUGCACCCAGAUGACUAGAAGACAUUAUAGAAGAUGUUCCAGCGGCAUUGGCAAGCUCCUUUUGCUCCUGGAGUGCUGCCGAGUCAGAGUGUGUAUGCUAUGUUUUCUGAUUAUUUGUUAGAGACUUUGCAAACAGAGUCGUGGGUAUAGUAUGUCAGUUGUGUAAGCGGCUUCGUCAGCCGCUAUGCCAUUCUGUAUUAUGUAUUAAAUUCUAUAUGAUCACAAAUUUUGUUUGA
Long non-coding RNA from Lycium barbarum (goji berry), 479 nucleotides. RefSeq lists it as uncharacterized. Lineage: Eukaryota; Viridiplantae; Streptophyta; Magnoliopsida; Solanales; Solanaceae. The transcript is spliced from 3 exons. The record is from RefSeq and is a predicted model, not a curated record.